This is a microRNA precursor of Homo sapiens (human), 66 nucleotides long. The record is from Ensembl. Lineage: Eukaryota; Metazoa; Chordata; Mammalia; Primates; Hominidae.
AAAGCUGGAUACUCAGUCAUGGUCAUUGUAACAUGAUAGUGACAGGUACUGGGUAAGACUGCAUAG